Molecule: ribosomal RNA, 344 nt
Filed under: uncultured bacterium
Lineage: Bacteria
Description: bacterial SSU rRNA
Rfam family: Bacterial small subunit ribosomal RNA
Source: RNAcentral
UUGUUCGGAAUUACUGGGCGUAAAGGGUGUGUAGGCGGUUAAGUAAGAUAGUGGUGAAAUGCCGGGGCUCAACCUCGGAAUUGCCAUUAUGACUAUUUAGCUAGAAUGAUGCAGAGGAUAGCGGAAUACCCAGUGUAGAGGUGAAAUUCGUAGAUAUUGGGUAGAACACCAGAGGCGAAGGCGGCUAUCUGGGCAUUGAUUGACGCUGAGGCACGAAAGCAUGGGGAUCAAACAGGAUUAGAUACCCUGGUAGUCCAUGCUGUAAACGAUGAAUGCUAGUUGUUGGAGGAAUUCAGUGACGAAGUUAACACAAUAAGCAUUCCGCCUGGGGAGUACGGUCGCAA